This 698-nucleotide long non-coding RNA is filed under the name Physcomitrium patens. Its description in RNAcentral is "long non-coding RNA (PPAT_LNC004288)". Lineage: Eukaryota; Viridiplantae; Streptophyta; Bryopsida; Funariales; Funariaceae. The record is from RNAcentral.
AUGCGAUGAGAAUGAUACGAUUCGCACUCUUUGUGUGAUGAAAUGUGCUUCGAAUUUCACAUUUCCGCAGAGGCAUUCAGUAGAUUAAUUUUAUGGCGAUAUACCUUUUUCUUUCUUAGAAGAUGGAACAAGAUGGAGCAAGCUUUCUUUUUUUCUUUUUUUUCAACCUUUUGCUUGGUUUCGUUUAUUCAUGUAGUAGAUGGUGACUUUCUCCGUUUAUGUUGUCGUUUUAAAAGUAUCUAACUGCUUCUGAGAACUGCAGCAGUUGAGGCACACAAAAUGUGAGAGAAAUUCGACUGCAUUCUAGGGUUUGGAAGGUCUGUGAGAGAAGCUGUAGUAAGUAUGUAGUUGUGUUAUAAUUUUCCAGAGUUUUUAAUUUUGAGGAAUAAUGGUUUUAGACAACGACCGCUGGAUUUGUGCUGAAGUACCGUUCGUGCAUCAUAUUCAUGUUUUAAAUUUCAUUUUACAUAUAGCUCGAAGCUUUCAGUACUGAAUCUCACGAGCUCCGAAUGCACAAAUCAAGUCGAAAUCAAUCGCAGCGACCAGGAGAAAAAAGCAGAGCAGCAAACCUCGGAAGCAUGAUCACAUCAAAGGCAGUAUCGAUGAAAAAAUGGUGAAAGAAGGAUCGCAUACCAGAAUAGAGCAACCAACCAGGAGCAACAGAACAUCAUCCGCACUCUCCGCCACUCGAGCUCUCG